Long non-coding RNA from Bufo gargarizans (Asiatic toad), 1902 nucleotides. RefSeq lists it as uncharacterized. NCBI's taxonomy places the organism in Eukaryota, Metazoa, Chordata, Amphibia, Anura, Bufonidae. The record is from RefSeq and is a predicted model, not a curated record. The transcript has 2 exons.
GAAUGGAGAAGAUAAGGAAAGAGAACAUCUACAUCAAAGGAGACGUCAUUGGAUGUAAGAGAUCCAGACAGCAUAGAGGCAACUCAUUCUCUACAACCAGGAGAUUGGGUAGUGGUGAAACGACACGUGCGGAAAGUCCUAGAACCACGAUUUGAGGGUCCACAUCAAGUACUGUUAACCACCGCCACUGCUGUCAAGUUGGAAGGAAAGCCUAAUUGGGUCCACGCAUCUCACUGCAAAAAAGUACCAGAACCUCAAGUGCUGGAAUGACUGCAAGGGCCGUAAUAUUUUUGCAUGCCUUACUGUUCAUUUUAUAUUGUACAGGGGAAAAUGCACAGUCAGAUAAAGUCCCAAAUUCCGUAUUUAGAGCAAUAUUAAUACAAGGGAAUCAGAGUGCAAUUGCAUAUGUAUCUCCUACAGCUUCACCCAUGAUUGACAAAAUGGCCUUAGACAGGGUUUUCAGACACAAAUGUAUGGCUAGAGUGGAUCCGCUAUACUGUUCUUUCCCAGAAGCGAUCCAACUGCAUAGCAUGUGCUGCAGCUCGACCUCAUUUGGGUACAGUACCUUUCCCUUUGAGUGAGGUUACCGAUCCUGAGGGUUUCAAGUGCAUCCUUAAGAUGUACACUGAAACCAUUCCCAGCAAUGACACCUCCCGCUGCAGAACAUUAGAAUUACUUUAUCCGAUUGUUCAUGAUAAAGAUCAUAUGGGUUUCGGUAUAACGCCAUACCCUGGAAAUUAUACCUGUUUCAAUCGUAACAGUACAGGCAAAGAGAUUGGUGUUUUCCCUCCCAGGAUAUUGUUCCUAUAACAUCUAUUUAAAUGAGACAAGUAGUGACUCUGAUGCUUACCCUGACAAAUGGUUUGUCCACCAAGAUUAUCAACAUUCAGAUAUCUGGUGGUUGUGUGGAGACAUGAAGCUCCGACCCAGGAUACGAAUGGAAUAGAUUGGCCAAUGUACCUUGAUUAAGGUGCUGAUGCCAUUUGUUCUAUUUUCGACUCUUGAGUGGGAUCAAGUCAAUAAGCAAACCGGUGUACGGUCAAGGCUAAGGAGGUCACUCUCUACAUCUUUUGAUUCUCAUGUAUACAUAGAUGCUAUAGGAGUCCCUAGAGGAGUUCCUGAUGAAUUCAAGGCUAGCUUGCUAGAAACCAGAUAGCUGCUGGUUUCGAAUCAAUACUUCCAAUAAUUGGCGUAAAUAAAAAUGUAGGAUGGAUUAACUAUUUGUACUAUAAUCAACAGAUUCGUAAAUUAUACUCGAGAUGCGGUAAAAGGAAUAGCAGAACAACUGAGCUCUUCAUCGGUGAUGGCGUUACAGAAUCGACUGGCCCUCGAUAUGAUCCUAGCAGGAAAAAGGAGGCGUCUGCAAGAUGAUUGGAAGUUCCUGCUGCACCUUUAUUCCGAACAACACUGCCCCUGACGGAAGCAUCACAAAGGCUUUAAAAGGACUGACUGCCUUAUCAAAUGAACUAGAGGAAAACUCUGGAAUCAACAACCCAUUUACUUCAUGGCUAGAACAGUGGUUUGGGAACUGGUCUAGUGUGUUAGCCAAUCUGUUAAUGACACUGGUGGCAGUAUUUGUGGUAUUGGCAUUGAUAGGGUGUUGUGUUAUUCCUUAUUUUAGAAAAAUAGUUUUUAAAAUGUUCAAUUCAACCACACCUGCAACCACCAUAUACAUGCAUUGUGACACUGACAAACCUAAAGAUUAUUUGGAGAACCUAAUUGAGGAACGCGAUUACGUCCUAAAACAAAUAAAAUCUUGUUGAUAGUUGCGGAAUAAAUAGAUCCAGAUGAAAGCAAACCUGAAAGGGAGUUGGGGGGACCUGGUGAGGCAAUAAAGAAAGUCCAGCUCUUCGUCGCUUAGGGCGUUGGGAGAGUACCUCACAUUGCUUAUUCAUCUUGUAU